ACCAUGUUUUUCUUGAGGUUGCACUACUGUCACAUGAGCGUGUAGUAAGGGCAGUACUGCUACCACUUAUAAAACACCACUAAUAACAUAGAUAAGGUAGGCAGCCAAGUAUAUUGUCUCUGAGACUUGGGACUGCCUUUCUUCUCUGGAAUA
RNAcentral lists this non-coding RNA (153 nucleotides) under Aotus nancymaae (Ma's night monkey). Lineage: Eukaryota; Metazoa; Chordata; Mammalia; Primates; Aotidae. The record is from RNAcentral.